GUACCGUAUGAAUAAGCAUCGGCUAACUCCGUGCCAGCAGCCGCGGUAAUACGGAGGAUGCGAGCGUUAUCCGGAUUUAUUGGGUUUAAAGGGUGCGCAGGCGGCUNAUUAAGUCAGCGGUGAAAUUUUGCAGCUCAACUGUAAAAGUGCCUUUGAUACUGGUUUUCUUGAGUGUGGAUGANGUAGGCGGAAUNUGUGGUGUAGCGGUGAAAUGCAUAGAUAUCACGCNGAACUCCGAUUGCGCAGGCAGCUUACUAAGCCAUAACUGACGCUCAGGCACGAAAGCGUGGGGAUCAAACAGGAUUAGAUACCCUGGUAGUCCACGCAGUAAACGAUGAUAUACU
RNAcentral lists this ribosomal RNA (344 nucleotides) under uncultured bacterium. Its description in RNAcentral is "bacterial SSU rRNA". It matches the Rfam family "Bacterial small subunit ribosomal RNA", at positions 475 to 818 of the family's 1533-position model. The record is from RNAcentral.